This 450-nucleotide ribosomal RNA is filed under the name uncultured bacterium. RNAcentral describes it as "partial 16S ribosomal RNA". It matches the Rfam family "Bacterial small subunit ribosomal RNA", at positions 29 to 523 of the family's 1533-position model. The record is from RNAcentral.
AACGAACGCUGGCGGCAUGCCUAACACAUGCAAGUCGAACGGGUGUAGCAAUACAUCAGUGGCGCACGGGAUAGUAACGCGUGGGAAUCUGCCUCGUAGUUCGGAAUAACACCGGGAAACUGAUGCUAAUACCGGAUACGCCCUUCGGGGGAAAGUUUUUCGCUAUGAGAGGAGCCCGCGUUGGAUUAGCUAGUUGGUGAGGUAACGGCUCACCAAGGCGACGAUCCAUAGCUGGUCUGAGAGGACGAUCAGCAUCACUGGGACUGAGACACGGCCCAGACUCCUACGGGAGGCAGCAGUGGGGAAUAUUGGACAAUGGGGGAAACCCUGAUCCAGCAAUGCCGCGUGAGUGAUGAAGGUCUUCGGAUUGUAAAGCUCUUUUGGCAGGGACGAUGAUGACGGUACCUGCAGAAUAAGCUCCGGCUAACUUCGUGCCAGCCGCCGCGGUAA